AAUGCAUAGGAAUCUGCCCAGUAGUGGGGGAUAACGUGGAGAAAUCCACGCUAAUACCGCAUAUAUCCCACGGGACAAAGCAGGGGACCUUCGGGCCUUGCGCUAUUGGAUGAGCCUAUGUUGGAUUAGCUAGUUGGUAGAGUAAAAGCCUACCAAGGCGACGAUCCAUAGCUGGUCUGAGAGGAUGAUCAGCCACACUGGAACUGAGACACGGUCCAG
Molecule: ribosomal RNA, 219 nt
Filed under: uncultured bacterium
Lineage: Bacteria
Description: partial 16S ribosomal RNA
Rfam family: Bacterial small subunit ribosomal RNA
Source: RNAcentral